CGCUGACCAGCUAGCCCCACCCCUAAAAAACAACAAACCAACAUUACUACCCACAAAACACCUGCUUCUAACAAAGCAAACCAUUUUUCCACCUUAGUAAGGGCGACAGAAAAG
This 114-nucleotide ribosomal RNA is filed under the name Priacanthus blochii (Paeony bullseye). RNAcentral's name for it is "partial 16S rRNA". The record is from RNAcentral. Lineage: Eukaryota; Metazoa; Chordata; Actinopteri; Priacanthiformes; Priacanthidae.